Molecule: ribosomal RNA, 478 nt
Filed under: uncultured bacterium
Lineage: Bacteria
Description: bacterial SSU rRNA
Rfam family: Bacterial small subunit ribosomal RNA
Source: RNAcentral
GACGAACGCUGGCGGCGUGCCUAAUACAUGCAAGUCGAGCGGGGAUUAUGCUUGAUCGCUUCGGUGAGACGGCAUAUAUCCUAGCGGCGGACGGGUGAGUAACGCGUGGGUAAUCUACCUCGUAGUUCGGGAUAACAGGCCGAAAGGCUUGCUAAUACCGGAUGAGUUCAUGCUUAUGCAUAUAGGCAUGAAGAAAGGGCUAGCCCGCUAUGAGAUGAGCCCGCGUCCCAUUAGCUUGUUGGUGGGGUAAUGGCCUACCAAGGCAACGAUGGGUAGCCGGCCUGAGAGGGUGUACGGCCACACUGGGACUGAGACACGGCCCAGACUCCUACGGGGGGCAGCAGUAGGGAAUUUUCGGCAAUGGGCGAAAGCCUGACCGAGCGACGCCGCGUGAGGGACGAAGGCCUUCGGGUUGUAAACCUCUGUCUGGGGGGAUGAGAACGGACGGUACCCCGGAGGAAGCCCGGCUAACUACGUG